Molecule: long non-coding RNA, 998 nt
Filed under: Chlamydomonas reinhardtii
Lineage: Eukaryota; Viridiplantae; Chlorophyta; Chlorophyceae; Chlamydomonadales; Chlamydomonadaceae
Description: long non-coding RNA (CREI_LNC000802)
Source: RNAcentral
GACAACGUCGGUGACAUUGCCGGCAUGGGCGCUGACCUGUUCGGCAGCUUCGCUGAGUCCACCUGCGCCGCGCUGGUCAUCUCCGCCGUGUCCAGCCUGGGCAAGGAGCACGACUACGCCGGCAUGAUGUUCCCCCUGCUCAUCUCCGCCACCGGUGAGUUCUUGGGAAGGAGGCGGCGGCGAGGGCAUGGGCACGGAGUGUGAGGGCGGGGAAAGGCUGGGGUAUGCGCUGCUACCAGGGAGGCUUGCAAUGCUUGGACUUCGGAGGGCGACGAGGGCAGCUGGGUAUGGCUAACGGUUAGGGAGAUGCGCAGCAAAGGAACACCUCUAUGUCAGGAGACAAACCGUCGCGGUCGCCACAGCUGGGGGAUAUUGCCGCAGCAGGGGGGAGUGGCAGUGCUAAGAGAUGGAAAAGGAAGGUGCAGGCUGGUUGAAGCUCGGAGGUCAGUGGCGCAGCGCCGCAAGGCAGAGGCUGGGACAGGUCUCGGCGGCAUCGCAACCCACAGUCUCAACCCGCCCCACUAUCGCUGUCGUUGCUAACCACACCCUCGCCCGCAUCACGACAGGCAUCUUUGUGUGCCUGAUCACCACCUUCCUGGCCACCGACCUGAAGCCCGCCAAGGUGAUUGCCGAGAUCGAGCACACGCUCAAGAUGCAGCUCAUCAUCUCCACCCUGCUCAUGACCCCCGUGGCUCUGGGCGUGGCGCUGUGGUCGCUGCCGCCCGAGUUCACCCUGUCGGUGCCCUCGUCCAGCCCCGACAAGCCCUUCGAUGAGAAGGUAGGAAGGAGUUUGAUAACGUAUCGCAUUGUGGGCGGCGGGUUGGGGCGCAGGGAAACAGACAAACAGUGAAGGCGGUCCCGCGACUGACUGGUGUGCAAUGCGCAAUCCGACCCAUCCCAACAGGUCGUCAAGAGCUGGUACAUGUUCGUGUGCAUCAGCACCGGCCUGUGGGGCGGCCUGCUGGUGGGCCUGCAGACCGAGUACUUCACCUCCAACC